GCUUGUCUAAAAGAUUAAGCCAUGCACGUGUAAGUACACACUCUUGGUAUAGUGAAACUGCGAAUGGCUCAUUAAAUCAUAUGUGAUUUCUUAGAUCGUUGCGUCCUUUCGGGGACGACUGGAUAACUGUGGCAAUUCUAGAGCUAAUACAUGCAAUCAAGCUCCGACCUUAACGGGACGAGCGCUCUUAUUAGACCAAGGCCAACCUGUGUAGGAAACUCGCAGUUUGCUGUGGUGACUCUGGAUAAGUUUAGUUGAUCGCAAGACCUUUGCGUCGGCGACGUAUCUUUCAAGCGUAUGCCCUAUUAGCUGUCGACGGUAGGGUAGCGGCCUACCGUGGCAACGACGGGUAACGGGGGAUUAGGGUCCGAUCCCGGAGAGUAUGCCUGAGAGACGGCAUACACAUCUAAGGAAGGCAGCAGGCGCGCAAAUUACCCAAUGGGGACACCCUGAGGUAGUGACAAGAAAUAACAAUACGCGACUCUUUCGAGGCCGCGUAAUUGGAAUGAGCACAGUCUAAAUCCUUUAGCGAGGAUCAAUUGGAGGGCAAGUCUGGUGCCAGCAGCCGCGGUAAUUCCAGCUCCAAUAGCGUAUAUUAAAGUUGCUGCAGUUAAAAAGCUCGUAGUUGACAAUCGACGCUCGUCUCGGCGGUACUGUUCACGCAGGCACUGCCUUGACGGCAUCUACACACUGGCUUGCGGCCGUGCACGCUCGGCAACGGGUGUGUCGUGUCCGAGCCCCGGGUGUCCUUCACUGGGUGCCCGUGGGUGGCCUUUGCGUUUACUUUGAAGAAAUUAGAGUGUUCAAAGCGGGCUAUUCAUAGCUCGAAUACUCGGUACAUGGAAUAAUGGAAUAGGACCCUGGUUCAUUUCUGUUGGUCUAUGGACAAUGGGUAAUGAUUAAAAGGGACUGCCGGGGGCAUUGGUAUGGCAGGGGGAGAGGUG
RNAcentral lists this ribosomal RNA (944 nucleotides) under Hyalopomatus mironovi. RNAcentral describes it as "SSU rRNA". It matches the Rfam family "Eukaryotic small subunit ribosomal RNA", at positions 30 to 913 of the family's 1831-position model. Lineage: Eukaryota; Metazoa; Annelida; Polychaeta; Sabellida; Serpulidae. The record is from RNAcentral.